AGCUCCAAUAGCGUAUAUUAAUGUUGUUGCGGUUAAAAAGCUCGUAGUUGGAUCUCGGCAGGUAGGGGGCGGUUCAUUAUUUGAUGUUUACUGCUCCAUUUACCUGUGUUUUUGACGGAGGUUCCAGGGUGCUCUUAACCGAGUGUCCUGGGAUGCCGCCAGGUUUACUUUGAAAAAAUUAGAGUGCUCAAAGCAGGCUUUACACGCUUGAAUAUUCGUGCAUGGAAUAAUAGAAUAGGACGUCGUUUCUAUUUUGUUGGUUUUCGGAAAUCGACGUAAUGAUUAAUAGGGACAGUCGGGGGCAUUAGUAUUCAGACGACAGAGGUGAAAUUCUUGGACCGUCUGAAGACUAACUACUGCGAAAGCAUUUGCCAAGAAUGUUUUCAUUAAUCAAGAACGA
Molecule: ribosomal RNA, 400 nt
Filed under: phytoplankton environmental sample
Lineage: Eukaryota
Description: partial small subunit ribosomal RNA
Rfam family: Eukaryotic small subunit ribosomal RNA
Source: RNAcentral